RNAcentral lists this long non-coding RNA (1232 nucleotides) under Oryctolagus cuniculus (rabbit). RNAcentral's name for it is "lncRNA (ENSOCUG00000034202.1)". The record is from RNAcentral. Lineage: Eukaryota; Metazoa; Chordata; Mammalia; Lagomorpha; Leporidae.
CCUCCUCUUUGCAUUAGUUUAUUAGAUAUUAUUAAUAAAUUAUGCAUGUUAUAAGCUUAAUUCUCAAAGAAUAUAAGCCAUAUUAAAUAUUAAAUAUGGAAAGCAUACUCAUUGUCAUCUCUGAUUAUCACAUAUUGGAAACAAAUUACUUUACAUUUUGUUACUCUACCACAAAGUCUUCUAUCAUUUUUCUUUCUCACAAAAGACUCAAUUCAGGCCUAGACUACAUUGCUUAAAAUGAGAACCAUACAAAUGAGACAAAAGAGGAGAGGAAAAUCAAAGUGUACCGCUUCCACUAAAUUCUCUCUUCUCAAUAUCUGCCUUCUGGCUUUCAUUUUAAGUCACUGGCCAUGUGGUUGGGAAGGCAUUACUGAUUUAGUUGUGCAUUUGGGUUUCUCUACUCUCCAAUGAUAAGGAUAGAUAUGAUAAGAACAAGAACAGAGUUAGCCAGAGGUAACAGGAAACUAAAAUUGUCCCCUCCCAAUAAAGAUACUGUUACUGAAAUUGUGAGUCUAACAGACAUUUUAAUUUGCUUUUUGGUAGAACAAAUGUUCAGAGGGAAGUGUGGGCUGCAAGGCAAUACAGGUCUGAGACAGUACUGCUCACUCCCAGGGCACGAAUAAGUUCCUGGAGAAUGGCCAACAUGGAAUCAAUUCUGAAAUGCUCUGCUAACCCAUCUGGAAGAACACGUUUGUUUUCCCAAACAGCCAAGGAGUUCUGCAAGGUAAAGCCUGCCUUUCUUGUAAUGGCGAAUAUUUCCCAAAGGUGAAGUCUGCAGCAGGCAGCACAGAUGUUGCUGUAGUGGCGUAUCAGGACAAUGGGAAGACAAGCAGCUAGAAGAAAUGGACCACACGACGAGCAUAUUGCAGCUUGGGGAAGCCUGACAGCCCUGCACAGCACCUCUCUGAGCACCCUCAUCUCAGGUUACUCUCAGAGGCCAAAAAGACCAGAAAGCCCAACAGACAGGCACCAUGAAACUGGCUAUUUAAUGAAAUCUGUCAGUAGUCAGAGAAUAUGAGGCAUAGGAUCACAGCACAGAAAGGAAAUGGCAAUAAUUUAAUACAAAUUUCUCACUUAAUAACUGAGAAAAUGGAGGCUAAGUCUGAACUCUUAGUUUGCUUGUUUUCUGACAGCUAGCUUAUGGGAGAAUGAAUGCUGAGAUCCAUUUAUGAAAGAUUAAAAACAACCUAAAUGUCACAUCAAAAAUGAAUAAAUAAAGCUAUAUCAAUUCA